UAGUCCAUGCUGUAAACGAUGUCUACUAGCUGUUGGAUCUGUAUAGAUUUAGUGGCGCAGUUAACGCACUAAGUAGACCGCCUGGGGAGUACGGCCGCAAGGUUAAAACUCAAAUGAAUUGACGGGGGCCCGCACAAGCGGUGGAGCAUGUGGUUUAAUUCGACGCAACGCGAAGAACCUUACCAGGCCUUGACAUCCCGGGAAGGAGCCAGAGAUGGCUCUGUGCCUUCGGGAACCCGGUGACAGGUGCUGCAUGGCUGUCGUCAGCUCGUGUCGUGAGAUGUUGGGUUAAGUCCCGUAACGAGCGCAACCCUUGUCCUUAGUUGCCAUUGAUUCGGUCGGGCACUUUAAGGAGACUGCCGGUGACAAACCGGAGGAAGGUGGGGAUGACGUCAAGUCCUCAUGGCCCUUACGGGCUGGGCUACACACGUGCUACAAUGGCGGCGACAGAGGGAUAAUCCCUAAAAAGCCGUCUCAGUUCGGAUUGUUCUCUGCAACUCGAGAGCA
RNAcentral lists this ribosomal RNA (507 nucleotides) under uncultured bacterium. Its description in RNAcentral is "bacterial SSU rRNA". It matches the Rfam family "Bacterial small subunit ribosomal RNA", at positions 791 to 1320 of the family's 1533-position model. The record is from RNAcentral.